This 679-nucleotide ribosomal RNA is filed under the name uncultured bacterium. RNAcentral's name for it is "bacterial SSU rRNA". It matches the Rfam family "Bacterial small subunit ribosomal RNA", at positions 199 to 864 of the family's 1533-position model. The record is from RNAcentral.
UACCAAAGGCCGGGCAACCGGUCACUGAAGGAUGGGCCUGCGUCUGAUUAGCUAGUUGGUGGGGUAACGGCUCACCAAGGCGACGAUCAGUAGCCGGUCUGAGAGGAUGAACGGCCACAUUGGGACUGAGACACGGCCCAAACUCCUACGGGAGGCAGCAGUGGGGAAUCUUCCGCAAUGGGCGCAAGCCUGACGGAGCAACGCCGCGUGAGUGAAGAAGGUUUUCGGAUCGUAAAGCUCUGUUGAGAGGGACGAGAGGCAAGGCUAGGAAAUGAGCUUUGUAGGACGGUACCUUUCGAGGAAGCCACGGCUAACUACGUGCCAGCAGCCGCGGUAAUACGUAGGUGGCGAGCGUUGUCCGGAAUUAUUGGGCGUAAAGGGAGCGCAGGUGGGAAAGUAAGUCAGUCUUAAAAGUGCGGGGCUCAACCCCGUGAGGGGAUUGAAACUACUUUUCUUGAGUGCAGGAGAGGAAAGCGGAAUUCCUAGUGUAGCGGUGAAAUGCGUAGAUAUUAGGAGGAACACCAGUGGCGAAGGCGGCUUUCUGGACUGUAACUGACACUGAGGCUCGAAAGCCAGGGGAGCGAACGGGAUUAGAUACCCCGGUAGUCCUGGCCGUAAACGAUGGAUACUAGGUGUAGGAGGUAUCGACCCCCUUCUGUGCCGGAAUUAACGCAAUAAG